Molecule: transfer RNA, 88 nt
Filed under: Vulcanimicrobiota bacterium
Lineage: Bacteria; Bacillati; Vulcanimicrobiota
Description: tRNA-Tyr
Rfam family: tRNA
About the family: Transfer RNA (tRNA) molecules are approximately 80 nucleotides in length. Their secondary structure includes four short double-helical elements and three loops (D, anti-codon, and T loops).
Source: RNAcentral
GGGUAGGUGGCCGAGUGGUUAAUGGCACCAGACUGUAAAUUUGGCUCGCGAAAGUGAUACGUAGGUUCGAAUCCUACCCUGCCCACCA